Molecule: ribosomal RNA, 376 nt
Filed under: uncultured bacterium
Lineage: Bacteria
Description: bacterial SSU rRNA
Rfam family: Bacterial small subunit ribosomal RNA
Source: RNAcentral
UAAUACGAAGGGGGCUAGCGUUGCUCGGAAUCACUGGGCGUAAAGCGUGCGCAGGCGGCUUCCUAAGUCAGAUGUGAAAUCCCCGGGCUCAACCUGGGAACUGCGUUUGAAACUGGGAGGCUAGAGUGCGGCAGAGGGGGGUGGAAUUCCACGUGUAGCAGUGAAAUGCGUAGAUAUGUGGAGGAACACCGAUGGCGAAGGCAGCCCCCUGGGCCAGCACUGACGCUCAUGCACGAAAGCGUGGGGAGCAAACAGGAUUAGAUACCCUGGUAGUCCACGCCCUAAACGAUGUCGACUAGUUGUUGGGGGAGUCUGUCCCUCAGUAACGUAGCUAACGCGUGAAGUCGACCGCCUGGGGAGUACGGUCGCAAGAUUA